Molecule: small RNA, 117 nt
Filed under: Macaca fascicularis (crab-eating macaque)
Lineage: Eukaryota; Metazoa; Chordata; Mammalia; Primates; Cercopithecidae
Description: Metazoan signal recognition particle RNA (ENSMFAG00000062787.1)
Source: Rfam by way of RNAcentral
GCCAGGUGUGGUGGCUCACGCCUGUAAUCCCAGCACUUGGGGAGGCUGAGGCAGGUGGAUCACCUGAGGUCAGGAGUUUGAGACCAGCCUGGCCAACAUGGUGAAACCCUGUCUCUA